This is a small nuclear RNA of Otolemur garnettii (small-eared galago), 107 nucleotides long. NCBI's taxonomy places the organism in Eukaryota, Metazoa, Chordata, Mammalia, Primates, Galagidae. The record is from Ensembl.
GUGUUUAUUUUGGCAGCAUAUAUACUAAACUUGGAACAAUGCAGAGAUGAUUAGGUUGGCCCUUGCUCAAGGAUGACACACAAAUUUGUGAAACGUUUCAUUUUUUU